CCUACGGGAGGCAGCAGUAGGGAAUAUUGCUCAAUGGGGGAAACCCUGAAGCAGCAACGCCGCGUGGAGGAUGAAGGUUUUCGGAUUGUAAACUCCUUUUGUUAGAGAAGAUAAUGACGGUAUCUAACGAAUAAGCACCGGCUAACUCCGUGCCAGCAGCCGCGGUAAUACGGAGGGUGCAAGCGUUACUCGGAAUCACUGGGCGUAAAGAGCGCGUAGGCGGGAUAGCAAGUCAGAUGUGAAAUCCUAUGGCUUAACCAUAGAACUGCAUUCGAAACUGUUAUUCUAGAGAAUGGGAGGGGUAGGUGGAAUUCCUGGUGUAGGGGUAAAAUCCGUAGAGAUCAAGAGGAAUACUCAUUGCGAAGGCGACCUGCUAGAACAUAACUGACGCUGAUGCGCGAAAGCGUGGGGAGCAAACAGGAUUAGAUACCCGAGUAGUC
Molecule: ribosomal RNA, 440 nt
Filed under: uncultured bacterium
Lineage: Bacteria
Description: partial 16S ribosomal RNA
Rfam family: Bacterial small subunit ribosomal RNA
Source: RNAcentral